GACGAACGUUGGCGGCGUGCUUAACACAUGCAAGUCGAACGGAAAGGCCCUGCUUUUGUGGGGUGCUCGAGUGGCGAACGGGUGAGUAACACGUGAGUAACCUGCCCUUGACUUUGGGAUAACUUCAGGAAACUGGGGCUAAUACCGGAUAGGAGCUCCUGCUGCAUGGUGGGGGUUGGAAAGUUUCGGCGGUUGGGGAUGGACUCGCGGCUUAUCAGCUUGUUGGUGGGGUAGUGGCUUACCAAGGCUUUGACGGGUAGCCGGCCUGAGAGGGUGACCGGCCACAUUGGGACUGAGAUACGGCCCAGACUCCUACGGGAGGCAGCAGUGGGGAAUAUUGCACAAUGGGCGGAAGCCUGAUGCAGCAACGCCGCGUGCGGGAUGACGGCCUUCGGGUUGUAAACCGCUUUCGCCUGUGACGAAGCGUGAGUGACGGUAAUGGGUAAAGAAGCACCGGCUAACUACGUGCCAGCAGCCGCGGUGAUACGUAGGGUGCGAGCGUUGUCCGGAUUUAUUGGGCGUAAAGGGCUCGUAGGUGGUUGAUCGCGUCGGAAGUGUAAUCUUGGGGCUUAACCCUGAGCGUGCUUUCGAUACGGGUUGACUUGAGGAAGGUAGGGGAGAAUGGAAUUCCUGGUGGAGCGGUGGAAUGCGCAGAUAUCAGGAGGAACACCAGUGGCGAAGGCGGUUCUCUGGGCCUUUCCUGACGCUGAGGAGCGAAAGCGUGGGGAGCGAACAGGCUUAGAUACCCUGGUAGUCCACGCCGUAAACGGUGGGUACUAGGUGUGGGGUCCAUUCCACGGGUUCCGUGCCGUAGCUAACGCUUUAAGUACCCCGCCUGGGGAGUACGGCCGCAAGGCUAAAACUCAAAGGAAUUGACGGGGCCCCGCACAAGCGGCGGAGCAUGCGGAUUAAUUCGAUGCAACGCGUAGAACCUUACCUGGGUUUGACAUGGAUCGGGAGUGCUCAGAGAUGGGUGUGCCUCUUUUGGGGUCGGUUCACAGGUGGUGCAUGGCUGUCGUCAGCUCGUGUCGUGAGAUGUUGGGUUAAGUCCCGCAACGAGCGCAACCCUUGUUCACUGUUGCCAGCACGUUAUGGUGGGGACUCAGUGGAGACCGCCGGGGUCAACUCGGAGGAAGGUGGGGAUGACGUCAAGUCAUCAUGCCCCUUAUGUCCAGGGCUUCACGCAUGCUACAAUGGCUGGUACAGAGAGUGGCGAGCCUGUGAGGGUGAGCGAAUCUCGGAAAGCCGGUCUCAGUUCGGAUUGGGGUCUGCAACUCGACCUCAUGAAGUCGGAGUCGCUAGUAAUCGCAGAUCAGCAACGCUGCGGUGAAUACGUUCCCGGGGCU
This 1346-nucleotide ribosomal RNA is filed under the name uncultured bacterium. RNAcentral's name for it is "partial 16S ribosomal RNA". It matches the Rfam family "Bacterial small subunit ribosomal RNA", at positions 28 to 1381 of the family's 1533-position model. The record is from RNAcentral.